UACUAUAAUACGACCUAUGAAUGCUAAACCGUUGGAUCAUGGGUGCCGAGGCGCUGAUUACAUUGGCAAGCCGCUUGGGAGCGUAAGGUUAGACGUUAAGAGUGAAGAUACAAAAUUGUUGGCGUUAUCCACCGUUCAUUUAUGUUGAUAGGGAAAUCCAAGGGCCCAUCGUUAUCAGAAAGCACCCUGUCCUUGCUAUAAGACAAGUACACGCGAGUACGUUGAUAAGGGUGGCAAUUUUCUACGUAUUCCUCAACGUAGGCUCAAAAAAUCACAACCUUUUGAUUGGUGGACCGUGAGAGAACGAACAUGCCCCAAAAAAUAUGUUACAUGUGAUUAAUAGAGUGGAGAUAUUUGAAGAUAACCUUUUUCUUUUUAA
RNAcentral lists this long non-coding RNA (379 nucleotides) under Citrus x clementina. RNAcentral describes it as "Citrus clementina (C. clementina) long non-coding RNA (CCLE_LNC002960)". The record is from RNAcentral. Lineage: Eukaryota; Viridiplantae; Streptophyta; Magnoliopsida; Sapindales; Rutaceae.